Molecule: ribosomal RNA, 405 nt
Filed under: Cardinium endosymbiont of Bemisia tabaci
Lineage: Bacteria; Pseudomonadati; Bacteroidota; Cytophagia; Cytophagales; Amoebophilaceae
Also listed under: 1 other name
Description: bacterial SSU rRNA
Rfam family: Bacterial small subunit ribosomal RNA
Source: RNAcentral
CGUCCUAUUAGCUAGUUGGUGAGGUAAUGGCUCACCAAGGCUACGAUGGGUAGGGGUUCUUAGUGGAAGGUCCCCCACACUGGCACUGAGAUACGGGCCAGACUCCUACGGGAGGCAGCAGUAGGGAAUAUUGGUCAAUGGGCGCAAGCCUGAACCAGCCAUGCCGCGUGCAGGAUGAAGGCUCUCUGAGUUGUAAACUGCUUUUGUACAGGAGCAAAAAAAUCCCUGCGGGGGUUCUUGAGAGUACUGUAAGAAUAAGCACCGGCUAAUUCCGUGCCAGCAGCCGCGGUAAUACGGGAGGUGCAAGCGUUAUCCGGUUUUAUUGGGUUUAAAGGGUGCGUAGGCGGCUUAUUAAGUCAGUUGUGAAAUCCUAGUGCUUAACGCUAGAACUGCGAUUGAUACUAU